ACGAUCCGGUGACGGAUGGGCAUGCGUGACAUUAGCUAGUCGGCGGGGUAACGGCCCACCGAGGCGACGAUGUCUAGGGGUUCUGAGAGGAAGGUCCCCCACACUGGUACUGAGACACGGACCAGACUCCUACGGGAGGCAGCAGUGAGGAAUAUUGGUCAAUGGGCUUACGCCUGAACCAGCCAAGUCGCGUGAGGGAAGACUGCCCUAUGGGUUGUAAACCUCUUUUGUCAGGGAGCAACGCCGGCUACGUGUAGCCGGACUGAGAGUACCUGAAGAAAAAGCAUCGGCUAACUCCGUGCCAGCAGCCGCGGUAAUACGGAGGAUGCGAGCGUUAUCCGGAUUUAUUGGGUUUAAAGGGUGCGUAGGCGGAAUGCCAAGUCAGCGGUAAAAUCGCGGGGCUCAACCUCGCUCCGCCGUUGAAACUGGCGUUCUUGAGUGGGCGAGAAGUAUGCGGAAUGCGUGGUGUAGCGGUGAAAUGCAUAGAUAUCACGCAGAACUCCGAUUGCGAAGGCAGCAUACCGGCGCCCAACUGACGCUGAAGCACGAAAGCGUGGGUAUCGAACAGGAUUAGAUACCCUGGUAGUCCACGCAGUAAACGAU
RNAcentral lists this ribosomal RNA (603 nucleotides) under uncultured bacterium. RNAcentral describes it as "bacterial SSU rRNA". It matches the Rfam family "Bacterial small subunit ribosomal RNA", at positions 210 to 810 of the family's 1533-position model. The record is from RNAcentral.